AAGAAGAGAAGAAAAGAAGAACAAAAAGAGGUAGCCAUUCUAGACCCCUCCCUUACAUUCUAACUCUCCUUUUUUUUUUUUUUUUUUUUUUUUUUUUUUUC
Molecule: non-coding RNA, 101 nt
Filed under: Lotharella globosa
Lineage: Eukaryota; Cercozoa; Chlorarachniophyceae
Source: RNAcentral